Molecule: transfer RNA, 72 nt
Organism: Camelus ferus (Wild Bactrian camel)
Lineage: Eukaryota; Metazoa; Chordata; Mammalia; Artiodactyla; Camelidae
Rfam family: tRNA
About the family: Transfer RNA (tRNA) molecules are approximately 80 nucleotides in length. Their secondary structure includes four short double-helical elements and three loops (D, anti-codon, and T loops). Further hydrogen bonds mediate the characteristic L-shaped molecular structure. tRNAs have two regions of fundamental functional importance: the anti-codon, which is responsible for specific mRNA codon recognition, and the 3' end, to which the tRNAs corresponding amino acid is attached (by aminoacyl-tRNA synthetases). tRNAs cope with the degeneracy of the genetic code in two manners: having more than one tRNA (with a specific anti-codon) for a particular amino acid; and 'wobble' base-pairing, i.e. permitting non-standard base-pairing at the 3rd anti-codon position.
Source: Rfam
GAGGGUAGAGCUCAGUGAUAGACUGUGUGCCUACCACGCACGAGGUCCUGGGUUCAAUCCCCAGUAUCUCUA